Non-coding RNA from Acanthosepion pharaonis, 113 nucleotides. Lineage: Eukaryota; Metazoa; Mollusca; Cephalopoda; Sepiida; Sepiidae. The record is from the annotation of a GenBank genome assembly.
UACAGCCAUAUCAUGUUAAAACACUGGUUCUCAUACAAUCACUGAAGUUAAGCAACAUAAAGCCUGAUCAGUAUCUUGAUGGGUAACUUCUUAGGAAUACCUCAUGCUGUAAU